CUGCAUCUUGUUUAGACUACUCACCCACCUCCCUGAUGGGGACUCAGUGUGCAGUGGCUGCAAAAAGUGGAUUCCUUGGUUAUUUGUGCAGCUCAUUCCUUUAUGUGUUGUUCUAAGAGACCUUGGCGACAUCA
Molecule: small nucleolar RNA, 134 nt
Organism: Rhinolophus ferrumequinum (greater horseshoe bat)
Lineage: Eukaryota; Metazoa; Chordata; Mammalia; Chiroptera; Rhinolophidae
Gene: SNORA70
Rfam family: Small nucleolar RNA SNORA70
About the family: snoRNA U70 seems to be exclusive to mammals and is a member of the H/ACA class of snoRNA which contain H (ANANNA) and ACA box motifs. H/ACA box snoRNAs are involved in the conversion of uridines to pseudouridines (5-ribosyluracil) a constituent of structural RNAs (transfer, ribosomal, small nuclear, and small nucleolar).
Source: Ensembl